CCUACGGGAGGCAGCAGUGAGGAAUAUUGGUCAAUGGCCGGAAGGCUGAACCAGCCAAGCCGCGUGAAGGACGACUGUGCCAUGCGUUGUAAACUUCUUUUGUCUAGGGACAAAAUCAGGCUUGCGUGCCUGCUCGUGGGUACUUGAUGAAUAAGCAUCGGCUAACUCCGUGCCAGCAGCCGCGGUAAUACGGAGGAUGCGAGCGUUAUCCGGAUUCAUUGGGUUUAAAGGGUGCGUAGGCGGACUGUUAAGUCAGCGGUAAAAGCGCGGGGCUCAACCCCGGCGAGCCGUUGAAACUGGCUGUCUUGAGAUGUCGAGAGGUAUGCGGAAUGCGCAGUGUAGCGGUGAAAUGCUUAGAUAUUGCGCAGAACUCCGAUUGCGAAGGCAGCAUACCGGCGGCGAUCUGACGCUGAGGCACGAAAGCGUGGGUAUCGAACAGGAUUAGAUACCCGGGUAGUC
RNAcentral lists this ribosomal RNA (459 nucleotides) under uncultured bacterium. Its description in RNAcentral is "partial 16S ribosomal RNA". It matches the Rfam family "Bacterial small subunit ribosomal RNA", at positions 338 to 795 of the family's 1533-position model. The record is from RNAcentral.